Molecule: non-coding RNA, 3291 nt
Organism: Oncorhynchus mykiss (rainbow trout)
Lineage: Eukaryota; Metazoa; Chordata; Actinopteri; Salmoniformes; Salmonidae
Source: RefSeq, a predicted model, not a curated record
GACCACAACCAGUCUAUCUUCAGGUUGGAAGACGAGGAGAACGGUCAGCCCCAACUCUGCCUUUUACAGGGGGGGAGGACGAGGUUGUCUGUAUGGGGAAAUAUUACUACUACGAUUGCUGUGAAGAAACAGGAGGACCCGGUUGAUUUAAAACAGAUGGAUGGUCCCAGGCGACGUCACCAUCAACCGUCAGCACGAAGCUCGAGAACCUACUGCUGUUAUUCUGAAGGUGCUCGUUUCGUUUACAUCGCUCUGCUCAUACAGACAAGUCGGCAGUUGUGAGAGGCGCUUGACAACCCCACUAGAUCCACCCUUGUCUUCUGAGGCACUUCCUCCCACAAUAUAAGAUGAAGUAGCAUACGACGUUGCACAGGUGUGUGUAUCCAGCCUAGCCGCGUGGGUCUGGGUGGGCCCGAGGGGUUGGCUGUUAUCUUUGGUUAUCUAGCUGUAUGAGUGGUGUACAUUCUUCAUAAAGCUAGAUAACCGAAAGUAACAAGAAUCCCAUUGCGCUCCCGCAAGGCCUGUUUCUUGUGCCCGACAAACAAAACAAAAUGGCCGACGCCCGAGAGGAAGUGACUCAGCGUUUGUGCCCAGCCAACCGAUCAGAAGACUUAAAGGUGACCCAUCACAUUGAAGUUAUGAUGUCAAGGCCAGUCAUCUGGCUCCGCCUCCCUCUGAAGUCCACCACCUGCCGACGGCCACCCCACCUCACCAAUAGGGAUGUCCAUUUCCGAACAUAGUGGUGCCCACCUCACCUAAAUGGAAGCGGAUUGAAUCCUCUUGUUAAACCUGAAGCACUUUGUUGCAAUUGAGGGAUCUCCCUUCAGCCUGGACUGAACAUGGGGUAAUGUACUGUUGAGUCAUGGAUACCAAUGGAUACUCAACCACAGCUGAAAAUAGGGUAAUGUACUGUUGAGUCACAGAUACCAAUGGAUACUCAACCACAGCUGUGUCUGUGGGCCUAACCCCCAGACUGUCUUCUGAACGUCCGGAUAUACCAAUCAAAGUAGAAGUUUAAACGGACCACUGUGAACUGUUGCGUUUCUGUCCUCCCACAGCUAACUGGCUGGAUACAUGGACACAAAUGGACAUAUCUGCGAUAAGCAGACGGAUGUGGACCAUGAUAGUUGAGAAGAACGUAGACUAAUACCCAUAUUGAAGCAUAUUGGACUGGCGUAUGGAACGCCCAUGAGUCCGAAUGGUAGACACAUAGACCUUGAAGCGGAGUUGUUGUUCCGGAGCCGGAGUAUACCAUUCAACACAGACGGCAUAGGCCACUAGCCCCGUGUUUAGUGAGGGUUGUGAGAAGUGUGCGUGUGCGCUGUGUGCGCUCUGUUGUGAUGGUACACCGGCCUCUCUGAGACGACUCUACACACAGCUGUAUCUGUCACAUCUGCCGUACGUUCGGGGCCGCGGGUCAGCUGAUCUGUCGAUGCGUAUGUGUGCUUGUUUGUUUACUUGUGCUUGUCUGUGUAUGUGCACGCACUUCGCGUCAGCCUCACUCAGCGCAAGUUCUGUUCUCGGAUUGUAAGCAACACACACACACACACACACACACACACACACACACACACACACACACACACACACACACACACACACACACACACACACACACACACAUAGUAAAGGUCUUGUAAACUGCUUCUGGUUAAUGGUCAUUGGAUUUAUCAUGCACGUAUGCUACAGUACCUGGCAAAAAUAUAUAUAUUUGACACUGGAGGUUAUAUGGCUUAUUGGUGGAAUCCACCACUGAUUUUAUUAUCAAGGGGAGGCAAACAAGUAUUUUAUAUUGGACAGAGCACAUAGUAUUCCGAUAAUGUGUGUAUAGAUAGAACACAUGAAAUUCAUUAAAAAUAGAAACAUAGAAAUGCAUCUUGAAAUCUAUGCAAAUGAAUCAACAAACAAUUUUAUCAUUUGCUUCUGAGAAUCAUUCAAAUUCUCAGAGGGUUUCGAUUUUUUUUCCCAAGGACAAUCCUGUUAAAUAUUGUAGGGUGAUGCGAGAGAAAUGGAAUGAAAGUGCAACGUAGAAUGGUUUCUGCUCUCUGGUCCAGACCAAAAAAAUAUGUUGGGAUUUUACCCUUGUUUUUCCUCAACAGCUUUGAUACAUUUUUAAACAAAUGUAUCAAUAUCGAAAUAUAAACGUUGGACUGGUUCAUUCACUUAACUGUGCAGGGACAUCUAUACAUCUUCAGAUUGGUUCUAAUGGAUCGACUGCAAAGUUUCAUGUACAUUUUUCCACACAACUCCAAUUACUUCUGGGAUUUCAUGUGGACAUUUUUACUCUGUGCAGCUUUUAUAUUUUGUAACUUUUGCCGCUUUUUGUAACCAAUAAUGUGACUAAUCAUUCGGAGCAACUGCAAUUCAUAUUUAGAUUUUUUUGGGGGGGGGGAUUUAACUUCCACAAUGUUGAAAAUGUUUCAUAUUUUUCCUGUUGCAAGUUUUAGAAAAACGAUGCAAUGGCUGUAUGAAAAAUGUGUUUGAUAGUGUGAUGUACUGUACAGUUUAACAACAAUGUGUACUCCACAUGAACAACACAUAUGCACUAUAUGAGCAAGUAUGCAAUAUCCUAUAGUCUAGAAAUACUGUUAUCAAGACCACACUAUAUGUAGUGGGUUACUAUGCAAUAUGUUGUGAGGAUUGUGCAAUCAGAGUGAAUGUGGGCUCUACACGAGGAGUUUAAACUAAACAGUCAGAGUGAAUGUGGGCUCUACACGAGGAGUUUAAACUAAACAGCCAGAGUGAAUGUGGGCUCUACACGAGGAGUGUAAACUAAACAGUCAGAGUGAAUGUGGGCUCUACACGAGGAGUUUAAACUAAACAAUCAGAGUGAAUGUGGGCUCUACACGAGGAGUUUAAACUAAACAGUCAGAGUGAAUGUGGGCUCUACACGAGGAGUUUAAGCUAAACAGUCAGAGUGAAUGUGGGCUCUACACGAGGAGUGUAAACUAAACAGUCAGAACGAAGUAUCUGUAGAUGUACGUAUCAUGUAGAAAGCAAGAGUGUAAUUGAUGGAAUGUGUGCACUAUUUGGAAUGUAUGCAAUUUGUAUGGAGGAAGUAUGCACUAUGUUGAGGGUGAACGCAAUGUUUUAAUGACAAUGUUGGAUUUUAAAGAGAUGCUUGCAUGAGUGCACUAUGUCCCUCAAAAUGCAUAGCCUAUGUUAGUUAUGUUUGCACAUGGCCUCUGAAUCCUGACUGUAUGGGACUGAUUCAUUCUUGUACCAUGUACUGUGAAGUAUGCAGGAUUAGUUUACACAAUCAAUAAAGGUUUACAUUGGAAGAAAAAAAAU